UAAGCUCAAAAGCAGCGGCUCCACAGCCAUUUCAAUCUUCCCGCCCCAGCCAGUUGAAGCUGAGGGGCCUCCCAAGCCAGGGAGCCAGAGAUGGAGGAGGAGGUGGAAGAGUCCGGGCUGCCUCUGUAGCUUUGGACCCUAGGCAGAGGGAACCUGCCAGGGGGCGGGAGGAGGUGCGCAAUCUGAGACCUCCAAAUGGCUUGCAGCUGGACGUGAUUGCCAAGACCCUUCUGGGCUGCUUCCAGUUGUUACAUAAUUUCCUGGCGCAGCUCCAGGAAAAGGUGCACAAACUGCAGGCGCCUCAGUUCUCCAGGAAGACCACUCUG
Molecule: long non-coding RNA, 326 nt
Filed under: Homo sapiens (human)
Lineage: Eukaryota; Metazoa; Chordata; Mammalia; Primates; Hominidae
Description: non-protein coding lnc-SFTPD-4:1
Source: RNAcentral